This 497-nucleotide ribosomal RNA is filed under the name uncultured bacterium. Its description in RNAcentral is "partial 16S ribosomal RNA". It matches the Rfam family "Bacterial small subunit ribosomal RNA", at positions 28 to 507 of the family's 1533-position model. The record is from RNAcentral.
GAUGAACGCUGGCGGCGUGCCUAAUACAUGCGAGUCGAGCGAACGGACGAGAAGCUUGUUUCUCUGAUGUUAGCGGCGGACGGGUGAGUAACACGUGGAUAACCUACCUAUAAGACUGGGAUAACUUCGGGAAACCGGAGCUAAUACCGGAUAAUAUUUUGAACCGCAUGGUUCAAAAGUGAAAGACGGUCUUGCUGUCACUUAUAGAUGGAUCCGCGCUGCAUUAGCUAGUUGGUAAGGUAACGGCUUACCAAGGCAACGAUGCAUAGCCGACCUGAGAGGGUGAUCGGCCACACUGGAACUGAGACACGGUCCAGACUCCUACGGGAGGCAGCAGUAGGGAAUCUUCCGCAAUGGGCGAAAGCCUGACGGAGCAACGCCGCGUGAGUGAUGAAGGUCUUCGGAUCGUAAAACUCUGUUAUUAGGGAAGAACAUAUGUGUAAGUAACUGUGCACAUCUUGACGGUACCUAAUCAGAAAGCCACGGCUAACUACGUG